RNAcentral lists this ribosomal RNA (468 nucleotides) under uncultured bacterium. RNAcentral describes it as "partial 16S ribosomal RNA". It matches the Rfam family "Bacterial small subunit ribosomal RNA", at positions 28 to 507 of the family's 1533-position model. The record is from RNAcentral.
GACGAACGCUGGCGGCGUGCUUAACACAUGCAAGUCGAACGGAAAGGCCCUGCUUUUGUGGGGUGCUCGAGUGGCGAACGGGUGAGUAACACGUGAGUAACCUGCCCUUGACUUUGGGAUAACUUCAGGAAACUGGGGCUAAUACCGGAUAGGAGCUCCUGCUGCAUGGUGGGGGUUGGAAAGAUUCGGCGGUUGGGGAUGGACUCGCGGCUUAUCAGCUUGUUGGUGGGGUAGUGGCUCACCAAGGCUUUGACGGGUAGCCGGCCUGAGAGGGUGACCGGCCACAUUGGGACUGAGAUACGGACCAGACUCCUACGGGAGGCAGCAGUGGGGAAUAUUGCACAAUGGGCGGAAGCCUGAUGCAGCAACGCCGCGUGCGGGAUGACGGCCUUCGGGUUGUAAACCGCUUUCGCCUGUGACGAAGCGUGAGUGACGGUAAUGGGUAAAGAAGCAACGGCUAACUACGUG